Molecule: long non-coding RNA, 742 nt
Organism: Cryptomeria japonica (Japanese cedar)
Lineage: Eukaryota; Viridiplantae; Streptophyta; Pinopsida; Cupressales; Cupressaceae
Exons: 2
Source: RefSeq, a predicted model, not a curated record
ACAACAAAUUUGUAAAAAAUAAUCUUAAGAUCCCACUUGUCAAUUUCUAAACAUAAAAAUAUCUCUCUAUUGCUAUUAUGACUUGAGCUUUCAAACAGCUGCAAAUGGUGAUUGAUAGGAAAGCCCACCCCUGCCCCGCUUUGUACCCAACGAUUGGCUCUGAAUAACUCUCCAUAGUUCAUGUAAUUUCUGUGAAAGUAAGCCAAAUUCUGUCCAUUCUUCAUGAAAUUUCUAGAGAGCCCAGAUGCCCUAAUUUGUUCUGUUAAUAAAUUCCGACCAUGACUGAUCUAAUUGAUCAGUAUUCUGCCAUUACAACAUCUCUGGACUGCUACAGUCGAUCCAUAUUGUGGAAGCAAAAAUGGGGUCUUAUUACGUUGUAAAGGAUGAUGGACCAGGGGACGGGUUUAAAUUUCUGGUGGCUUUGCUGAUGGCAAUGAUGUUUAUGGUGUUGUGUAUGAACAAUCCCAGGCCUCGUCGGCGUAGGGCACAUAUGCUCAUGCGGGUUAACUGAAAGUUAAAUUCAGGGUAUGCAGCAUUUCCCUUCUCAUUUUCUGUAAUCUUCUGGCAUGAAGAAUGGUAGCUUAGGGUUUUUAUGUUGUACUGUUGUAGAAGUGAACUAGUUUGGGUUUCUACUCAGAAGGGUAAAUUGUGUAGGUAUGUAAGAGGUUACAAUUCAAUUGAUGUAUGUCAUAUCAUCAAUUUGAUAUAAAUUUUGAAUAUAUGAGUUAUAUUAUAGUUUGAA